CCCCUUCCCAGAGGCCCUCAGCAGCCAAUCCCCUCCCUCAGACUGUGCUGCGGGCAUUCAGCUCUCUCUAGGACCCAGCGCAGCUUUUACAUGCUCCACUGCUUGCCGUCUGUCUGGCAGAGUGUGAGGUGCCCCUGGAAGAGCGGUGCCCUACGCGACUGCCUAUUCUGUCUAUGGCUAAGGACGGCCCUGCUUAGACACAAAAGGAUUGGCUGGCAGCGUGGUAUUUGGGCUCAUUAGACAGACAACAUAUCUGGAUUCUUCUAUGGGCCCCUCAUCACCACAGCAUUGGAGCAACUGGAUAUACUCCAUACCCAUCCAAAAUUAUGAAUAAACAGGAAAAUGAAGAUGAAGACGACGGAGUUAGCUGUAGAAGCCAAUAUUUUAAGUUUCUCAUGUUAACCUGGCUGACAUAGUCGGUUUAAUUAUUGUUUUUUAAAUAUUUCAUUUAACUAUUUUAGUUAAAAACAAUUUUAACAAAAACAAACCUGAUUUUAAAAAAACUUGAAUGUUUAACUAAAUUCAAAAAUUCAUAUGCUUGUUUUGUUAAAAUAUUAUCUGUUUUCUGUUGAAGAAAAAAAUCCAGAAUACAUAACAUUGUUGUUUUAGUUAAAUAAAACAAUUUAAAUGUCUGUCUGGUGAUGUUCUCUUUCUAAUACAGCAUGGCAAGAAAAUCCUCCAAAUAUUAAUGAUUAACUUGUUGAAUUGGAGAUAGUUCACCUCCCAAUGACUUCAUAAAUAUCUGCUUCAAUUACCUUUGGAAAAUGAAAU
Malaclemys terrapin pileata is the source of this 771-nucleotide long non-coding RNA. RefSeq lists it as uncharacterized. The record is from RefSeq and is a predicted model, not a curated record. The transcript is spliced from 3 exons. NCBI's taxonomy places the organism in Eukaryota, Metazoa, Chordata, Testudines, Emydidae.